This 778-nucleotide ribosomal RNA is filed under the name uncultured bacterium. Its description in RNAcentral is "bacterial SSU rRNA". It matches the Rfam family "Bacterial small subunit ribosomal RNA", at positions 169 to 925 of the family's 1533-position model. The record is from RNAcentral.
CCGCAUAAUGCAGCGGCACCUAAUGGUGACAGUUGUUAAAGCGGGGGAUCGAAAGAUCUCGCGCCUGAAGAGGAGCCUGCGGCGGAUUAGCUAGUUGGUAGGGUAACGGCCUACCAAGGCGACGAUCCGUAGCCGGCCUGAGAGGGCGGUCGGCCACACUGACACUGACAUACGGGUCAGACUCCUACGGGAGGCAGCAGUCGGGAAUUUUGGGCAAUGGGCGAAAGCCUGACCCAGCAACGCCGCGUGAAGGAUGAAAUCCCUCGGGAUGUAAACUUCGCAAGAACGGGAAGAAUAAGCCUAUGUUAAUACCAUAGGCGAUGACGGUACCGUUUGUAAGCUCCGGCUAACUCCGUGCCAGCAGCCGCGGUAAUACGGGGGGAGCAAGCGUUGUUCGGAUUUACUGGGCGUAAAGGGCGCGUAGGCGGCCACCGCAAGUCAGUUGUGAAAUCUCCGAGCUUAACUCGGAAAGGUCAACUGAUACUGCGGGGCUAGAGUGCGGAAGGGGCAACUGGAAUUCUCGGUGUAGCGGUGAAAUGCGUAGAUAUCGAGAGGAACACCUGCGGCGAAGGCGGGUUGCUGGGCCGACACUGACGCUGAGGCGCGAAAGCUAGGGGAGCGAACGGGAUUAGAUACCCCGGUAGUCCUAGCCUUAAACGAUGAAUGCUUGGUGUCUGGGGUUAUAUAGUCCCCGGGUGCCGUCGCUAACGCUUUAAGCAUUCCGCCUGGGGAGUACGGUCGCAAGACUGAAACUUAAAGGAAUUGACGGAAUCGAAUU